Molecule: ribosomal RNA, 448 nt
Filed under: uncultured bacterium
Lineage: Bacteria
Description: partial 16S ribosomal RNA
Rfam family: Bacterial small subunit ribosomal RNA
Source: RNAcentral
GUCGAGAAUCUUUCACAAUGGGGGCAACCCUGAUGGAGCGACGCCGCGUGGAGGAUAAGGUCUUCGGAUUGUAAACUCCUGUCAUGCGUGAACAAGGUUGCUUGGUUAAUACCUGGGCAAAUUGAUGGUAACGCAAGAGGAAGAGACGGCUAACUCUGUGCCAGCAGCCGCGGUAAUACAGAGGUCUCAAGCGUUGUUCGGAAUCACUGGGCGUAAAGGGUGCGUAGGUGGCGUGGUAAGUCAGAUGUGAAAGCCCGGGGCUCAACCUCGGAACUGCAUCCGAUACUGCCAUGCUAGAGUACUGGAGAGGUGACUAGAAUUCUCGGUGUAGCAGUGAAAUGCGUAGAUAUCGAGAGGAAUACCAAAGGCGUAGGAGGUCACUGGACAGUUACUGACACUGAGGCACGAAGGCCAGGGGAGCGAACGGGAUUAGAAACCCCGGUAGUCC